GACGAACGCUGGUGGCGUGCUUAACACAUGCAAGUCGAGCGGAAAGGCCCUUCGGGGUACUCGAGCGGCGAACGGGUGAGUAACACGUGAGUAACCUGCCCCAGACUUUGGGAUAACCCUCGGAAACGGGGGCUAAUACCGGAUACGACACAGCUUCGCAUGGGGUCUGUGUGGAAAGUUUUUCGGUUUGGGAUGGGCUCGCGGCCUAUCAGCUUGUUGGUGGGGUGAUGGCCUACCAAGGCGACGACGGGUAGCCGGCCUGAGAGGCGACCGGCCACACUGGGACUGAGACACGGCCCAGACUCCUACGGGAGGCAGCAGUGGGGAAUAUUGCACAAUGGGCGGAAGCCUGAUGCAGCGACGCCGCGUGAGGGAUGACGGCCUUCGGGUUGUAAACCUCUUUCAGCAGGGACGAAGCGUAAGUGACGGUACCUGCAGAAGAAGCGCCGGCCAACUACGUG
RNAcentral lists this ribosomal RNA (461 nucleotides) under uncultured bacterium. Its description in RNAcentral is "partial 16S ribosomal RNA". It matches the Rfam family "Bacterial small subunit ribosomal RNA", at positions 28 to 507 of the family's 1533-position model. The record is from RNAcentral.